This is a long non-coding RNA of Hippocampus comes (tiger tail seahorse), 447 nucleotides long. RefSeq lists it as uncharacterized. The transcript has 3 exons. NCBI's taxonomy places the organism in Eukaryota, Metazoa, Chordata, Actinopteri, Syngnathiformes, Syngnathidae. The record is from RefSeq and is a predicted model, not a curated record.
UCCCCAAUGAAGUUCUAAUCCCGCCCACACCCACACACCCACCCCCGUUUCCUCUCUACAGUCGCAUUUGAGAGGAGGGUGUGCGGUUUUUGUCUUUUUUUUUUUGGGGUGGGGGGGGCUUUUUCUUUUUUUGUUUUGCACUUCUGCAAACGUCAGUGGCUUUAGAAGACGCCGGCACUCUAGUUUUUGGUUUGUUUUUAACACCGCAGGAGGGGCUGUAGAUCCAAAAUGGGGAAAGUGAACAUCUGGUUGAAAAGGAGUUUUAUCGUUGUCGCAAGUCUGAUGGCGAUUGUAGGGGCGCUCAUGCUGGCCGGAACGCUGUUCAGCCACGGGCAGUACCACGCGGAUGAGAAGAUCGAGGAAAUGAUUGUGGGCAUCAACGCCAUGUAUGCUAUGUCCAUCACCAUUUUGGUCCUGCCCAUCAUCGGCUUGUAUGGCGUCUGCAAA